RNAcentral lists this ribosomal RNA (377 nucleotides) under uncultured Planctomycetota bacterium. RNAcentral's name for it is "bacterial SSU rRNA". It matches the Rfam family "Bacterial small subunit ribosomal RNA", at positions 521 to 896 of the family's 1533-position model. Lineage: Bacteria; Pseudomonadati; Planctomycetota. The record is from RNAcentral.
UAAUACGAAGGUGGCAAGCGUUGUUCGGAAUCACUGGGCUUAAAGCGCGCGUAGGCGGAAAUUCAAGUGUCCUGUGAAAUCCCCCGGCUCAACCGGGGAACUGCGGGGCAAACUGGAUUUCUUGAGGCAAGUAGGGGUACAUGGAACUCUUAGUGGAGCGGUGGAAUGCGUAGAUAUUAAGAGGAACGCCGAUGGUGAAGACAGUGUACUGGGCUUGUCCUGACGCUGAGGUGCGAAAGCGUGGGGAGCGAACGGGAUUAGAUACCCCGGUAGUCCACGCCGUAAACGAUGUCUACUAGGUUGUGGAGGUUCUGACACCCUCACAGUCGAAGCAAAAGUGUUAAGUAGACCGCCUGGGGAGUACGGUCGCAAGGCUA